AAGUCGUAACAAGGUCUCCGUAGGUGAACCUGCGGAGGGAUCAUUACUGAGUGUGGGCUCCGGCCCUACCUCCAACCCCAUGUCGAAACGACUCUGUUGCCUCGGGGGCGACCCGGCCUUCGGGCGUCGGGGCCCCCGGCGGACACCUUCAUAACUCUUGCAUCUCUCGCGUCUGAGUGAUACAUAUAAUCAAUCAAAACUUUCAACAACGGAUCUCUUGGUUCUGGCAUCGAUGAAGAACGCAGCGAAAUGCGAUAAGUAAUGUGAAUUGCAGAACUCAGUGAAUCAUCGAAUCUUUGAACGCACAUUGCGCCCCCUGGCAUUCCGGGGGGCAUGCCUGUUCGAGCGUCAUUACACCACUCAAGCCUGGCUUGGUAUUGAGCGCCGCGGCCUGCCCGCGCGCUCCAAUGUCUCCGGCUGAGCCGUCCGUCUCUAAGCGUUGUGAAUAGCGAUCGCUUGCGAGGCCCGGGCGCGCUCGACGCCGUUAAACCCCCCAUUUUCUAUGGUUGACCUCGGAUCAGGUAGGGAUACCCGCUGAACUUAA
RNAcentral lists this ribosomal RNA (544 nucleotides) under uncultured fungus. RNAcentral describes it as "eukaryotic LSU rRNA". The stretch from base 198 to 351 matches the Rfam family "5.8S ribosomal RNA". Lineage: Eukaryota; Fungi. The record is from RNAcentral.